Molecule: ribosomal RNA, 207 nt
Filed under: uncultured bacterium
Lineage: Bacteria
Description: partial 16S ribosomal RNA
Rfam family: Bacterial small subunit ribosomal RNA
Source: RNAcentral
CAUGUAGGCGGAUUAAUAAGUUUGAAGUGAAAUCCUAUAGCUUAACUAUAAAACUGCUUUGAAAACUGUUAAUCUAGAAUGUGGGAGAGGUAGAUGGAAUUUCUGGUGUAGGGGUAAAAUCCGUAGAGAUCAGAAGGAAUACCGAUUGCGAAGGCGAUCUACUGGAACAUUAUUGACGCUGAGAUGCGAAAGCGUGGGGAGCAAACA